This is a non-coding RNA of Phthorimaea operculella (potato tuberworm), 72 nucleotides long. The record is from the annotation of a GenBank genome assembly. Lineage: Eukaryota; Metazoa; Arthropoda; Insecta; Lepidoptera; Gelechiidae.
GCGCCCGUAGCUCAGUUGGCAGAGCGGUGGAAGGGUGAUCCACAGCCCCGGGUUCAAAUCCCGGCGGGCGCA